Peromyscus leucopus (white-footed mouse) is the source of this 1480-nucleotide long non-coding RNA. RefSeq lists it as uncharacterized. The transcript has 2 exons. Lineage: Eukaryota; Metazoa; Chordata; Mammalia; Rodentia; Cricetidae. The record is from RefSeq and is a predicted model, not a curated record.
UCAUCAGCAGCCAGCAAGCUGCCUGGAGCUCACCAUGGGACUCCAUAGCACGGCUCUGUUUCCGGUGGCCUGGGAAGAAACUGGGCCCAUAAUCCUGGGCACAAGGACCAUUGGUGUCUCAGCCUUGCCGCAAUUCCUGGAAUAUCUUCACUGGGUCAAACAAUGCCCCCCAAAUUCACACUCACCCAGGCCAGAAGGAGACUUUGUAUGGGAACAGGAUCUUCAUGGGUGCGAUUAAGGUAACUCAAAACCUGAUGCUGGUGUUCUGAGAGAGGAAUGGAUGUCUGAGACAGAGACAUGGGAGAAACCUGGUGACCACUGAGCUGGAAAACAAGCUAUUGGGCGCCCAGGGCACUAGCAGCCAGCACAACUAGAAAGAGGCUUGGGCCGAUGUCCUCCCCGCCUCGGAAGGAGCCAGCCCUGUUCACACCUUGACUGCAGACUUCAGUUUCUGCUGGUGCUUCCUCAGGAAUGCGGUCUCUACUCCUUCCCUUCUUUCCCAGACUGCUGCCUAGUUCCCCAGCCAGCUUUCCACCCUGGCCGUGAGACAAUGGACAAGAGUCACCAUAACAAAACUGGACACGGGGGCUCAUCACAGACAAAUCCAGAACCCAAGAGAGCAGCGCCCAGCACUGGUGACUUACACAGCGGCUGUGAGGGGUUGGACAGAGGUGAGGACAAGAGGAAGUCCAGGCUUCAUGCAGGUCCCUCCCUGCCCCCAGCUGAGGGAUACUGGGUCCCUAGACCCUACCUCUGAGUGACCUGGGGUUGCCAGGGUCCUCCACAAAGCUGACACGCUUGUGAGGGAGGACACAUGCCCAGGAAGGACUUGUUACAGGCAGUGGCCAGUGAGUCCACACAAGUGCUAAGGGCUGUCCACUGUGCUGGCCUCUAGGCCUCACAGUCACCAUCCCCCAUAGAGGGCAAGGCCAGGCAGAGCCCCAGGCUAUAGCUAUCCUGGCAGGACUGUAGAUAUUCUAAAGGGACACUGUCCCUCCCUGGGCUUUCAGACCUUUGAAAACAACACAUCCCAAGAAACUGGAAUUGCUCCAGGAAUCUCAUGCUGGAGAAAAGAAAGGCCAAAGCAUGUAGCCAACCAGGAGGAGAACUUGCCUCCCAGGAAGACUCCAGACAGCUCCUCAGACCACCUUGCAGGAGACACCAGAGCCCGUCAGCAAUGGUUCAGUGACGGGCAGGACACACUCUGACCAGACGGCUUAGCUAUGCAGACCUCUUGCCCUCUAUUUGAACCUAAACCUCGUGUCAGGACCUGGAAGAUGAACUCGAGGGGGGCCACUGGACCUCUUUAUUUACUCCUCUUCCCAAUGUGACCAUGCUGCAUAAUUCUCUUCUCUCUGCUUUUUGCUGGCUGUUUCCUUAAUUGGUGUAUUGAGGAUGAGUGGGCUAGCCUGGUUUUGUCAAGGCUGCCAGGGUCCAGAUGCUGACUCUAAUAACUCCAGUAAUAAAUCCUGCCUCUCUC